AAUUAAAUGUACAGCAUCCCUGGCAUAGUCUACGUGACUCAUACAGUGGGAGAUUUUAAGAUUUCCUCAGAGGAAUAUCUGACCUAUCUGAAUCCAGGGCUUUAAAUCAAGAAACUUAACAGAGCCUAACCCCAUUUGGGGAACUUUCUCUGGAGCCCUAGCUGAGACCUGCACACACACCCACACCCUGCCCUGGGAAACAACUACCUGCAAGCGCCACUCUUCUAUCUACUGAGCCCCUUCUCUGUGGCCGCGGGUGUAGGGGGAGGAGGAGGGGUGGCUAGACAUUUGUUAAUUAACAGGCAUUCUAGAUUAUUCUUUUUUUUAAAAUUUAUUUUGGCUGCAUUGGGUCUUCGUUGCUGCGUGUAGGCUUCUCAUUGUGGUGGCUUCUUGUUGCAGGGCACGGGCUGUAGAGCGCAGGCUCAGCAGUUGUGGCGCACGGGCCCAGCCAUUCCGCGGCAUGUGGGAUCUUCCCGGACCAGGGCUCGAACCUGUGUCCCCUGCAUUGGCAGGCGGAUUCUUAACCACCAGGGAAGCCCUAGGUUAUUCUUAGUUUUGGAAACAGAGCUCUAAGGCUGGUUCUUAAACUUUAGUGAACUGCUUGAAGGUUCCAGAUUGCUAGAUUUCUCAGUGGAUCUGGGGAGGUGCCCCUAAACCUGUUUUUAACAAGUUCCCUGGUGACACAAAUGUUGCUGGUCAGGAGACCAGCUUGGGAACCACUGCUCUAAGGCGUUCCUCAAACCAUAGUGAACGUGUCACCUGGAGUCUUGGUUAACUACAGAUGCAGAUUCAGGUCUGUCCCCAAAUUGUGCAUUUCUUGCAAGAACCUCGGAGAUGGCAAUGCUGUUGGUCCAUGGACCACUCCUGAGGCUCCCAAAUACAGUUUCUGAUGCCUAUUAAAGGAACGGGAAAGGUUGGACUACCUUUGCUCACCCUUCUAAAUCUGAACAAAAAUAUGCCCUUCUCCAUGUAAAGAACGAAAAGGCACUGUCACUUCCAACUGUCAUCUUGUUUGGGGGCACCCAAGAAAAACUUCCCACCUACUGAACUGAGGCAAUGAGGUGGUGGUAGUGGGGUAGUGUGUACUGAAGUAGUGACGUCAAUCCCAAUCGUAAACAUUGCUUUCUGUUUUCUAACAGACUCCUCAGGCCAAGCACGAAGAUGCCCCGAGGUCCAGUUCGGUUCACUUAGUGUAUCUCUGCUGGCAUUCGGGUGAGGAUGGAGGGUGAAGCAGUGAUUUCAAAACAGUAAAAGCCGGCUUCUCCCCAGACUGUGGUAUCAGAGGGCUAUCAGAGAGCAGCAGGUAAGAGAAAUCUCAACCACUGAGUUUGAAGGAGACAAUCCGUACCACUAGUACAGCUCUUCCAACCAGCAGACUCUCAUCCACCUGAUCAGCCGAGGAGCACACAACAGAAAACCUAAGAAUCAUGCCAAGGACAAGACCAGUGAGGGUUAGCAGCGCUGCAGACCUCGACAGACGCAGGGGCCCUGGGAGAACGUGGCUUUCUCCAAAGGGCUGCCCCCACUCCUUUGGGAAACUACAAACCCUUCCGGUCUGUCCUGCUCCCUGGUGACGCAGAGGCGGGGGCAGCAGGCACUACACAGCUGGUCUACAGCAGAGGCUCGCUCUGCUUCAGCAGAGGCUUACUUGCCUAAGUGCUUGCGUCGUGACAGCAGCCCGUCCGCUGGGCUGGCCUUGGCUGCGUCUCCUUGGAAGACAGUGCGGAUGGCAGACAUGAGGCUCGGCCUGACCCAGUCCUUCAGGCCCUGGCUAAAACUCAGACAUUCCUACCCCUGCAUCUCAUCCCCAGUCUGAAUGGCGGUAUUUAGGGAAAAACUGCCCCAGGGCCGGCGGACAGGCCCGCAGGAGUUACAUCUUCUAGUACUGACGAGUGCAUGGGAUUCCAGCCACAAUUUCCGAUUCGAUUCCACAGUGAUCCUCUCCUCUGAGGAUUUUAAAGAAGCCUAGAGAGCAGAAGACGCCUUUAGAGAGUGCUUGGCUUUUGCCGACAUAUCCAGACCCACCCCUGAAAAACGGGGAAACGGAAGUCACAAACCAGCCCCAAAGCUGUCACCAGCCGGCCCACAAGGUGCUCUGCCGGCUUCCGUUCAGCCCGUAUCCGGCCCCUGCACCUGGUGCCGUGGGGACCCAGGCCCAGCACACACCCUCCCGGGAUCAGAGGCUGCCCUCGUGGAAGCCCCGGCUCCCCAGCACCUGCGCAGCUGGCAGAGCAGGACAGGACGCCCGCUGUGCCCUGCUCUCAGCAGGAAGGGGCUGCACUCACCAUUGUCACCCCAGUCGGUGUUCCAGGAGUUGCCGACCAGCCAGUAGGGGGUGCCGUUCUCCACUCCCCAGCCCAGGAUGCGGAUGGCGUGGCCUCCCAUCAUCUCUCCUGUGACGUGCUGGUACACCCCUGGGAAAGGAGACAGCGGUCAGGCCGGGCAGCCGCCCCAUCGGCCACAGCACCCCUCCAGCUCACUGGUCACCCCGGGCAGGACGGACGGGGCCGGAGGAAAGGACCAGCCCUGGCGUUCCACAAGAAGGCUCCAGGGGUUCCCACAACAUUUUGGAAUUACUUAUUUUGAAAGCCUAACACACUAUAGGAGGUAAAUAUUAAGAUGGAGGCCAAUCAAAUGUGUUCGUUGGUUCUCUUUAAAAUUGUAAAUUCUAAUAAAAAUACCAACAGUUAACUGUG
Long non-coding RNA from Orcinus orca (killer whale), 2696 nucleotides. RefSeq lists it as uncharacterized. The record is from RefSeq and is a predicted model, not a curated record. Lineage: Eukaryota; Metazoa; Chordata; Mammalia; Artiodactyla; Delphinidae. The transcript is spliced from 2 exons.